Non-coding RNA from Ciona intestinalis (vase tunicate), 435 nucleotides. NCBI's taxonomy places the organism in Eukaryota, Metazoa, Chordata, Ascidiacea, Phlebobranchia, Cionidae. The record is from RefSeq and is a predicted model, not a curated record.
CGAUAUCAUUUCAGGAAAAAGCAGAACUAGUUCUGCUUAAAUAAAAGCGUUUCGGAAAUGUUUACGCGUUUAAUAACAACAACGCUCGUUAUAAAAGGCGAUGAGUCCUGGCGAGAAAUUAUCUCUUUCUUCAGAAAGCAACAAAAUGAAUAAGUCAGCGCUUCUCCUCUUGCUUGUCAUCGGAAUUGUAUUGAUUGUAUCUCCGAAUGCAGAUACGGGUGUUUUAGCUGCAAGUACUCGUCGUCGUAGACGUUGGGUUUAUGGCCAUAAGGUUCAAAGCGGUGCUCCAGUCACUCGUCGUCGUAGACGUUGGGUUUAUGGCCAUAAAGAUCAAAAUGUUCAAGAAUUGAUGGAAGACCAAAUAAAUCGACAAUAGUCAAACGACUUGAAAUGCCCAAUACUUACUGUCAAUAUCAAUAAAACAAGAUACAUAUA